CACAGCACUGCCUUAGAGUACUCUGAGUACUGGGACUCUGGAACUCUUCCAGCCUCCUCCAACCUCCCUGCUGUCCCAGGGAUGGCUAAUGAUUAACAGACCCUGCCAGAGUUCUCCUCAGACAGUCCCUAGGUCUCUGAGAUGCAAGUUUUCCAGCUGAUUUUAAAACAUGGAUAGCUAGCUGAUGGUAUUUAGCUACUUAAUGGACUGGAAAGGAAACAUCCUGUUUUGACAAGUGAUUGUAGGGAGCCAGAUGGAAGAAAGCAGUUCCAAUGGGGAACAGCCUCACUGUGAUGACCUCAGGAGCCCAUACUCAGAUGUGGUUGCUACUUAAACACCUAUCUCCCUUUUGGAUGAAAUGGGCAUUCCUGGAAGGAUCUGAGCCUGAGGUAAAACUGGAAGAGGUCAAACCAACCCAGCAGCACAGUUCCCAUGGCUGCAGAGAAAAGCUCAGUGCUGUGACUGCCUUUUAAUCACCUGGAUUCAGGAGAAAAAGGACAAUGUCUUUCAACAAAGAACAAACCUGAAAAACCCUGGAUGCAUAAGAGGAGGCCAUAUUUGAGUAAAAUGGCUCAGCACUUGCCCCAAGAAUGGAACAUAUCCUUUAUUUACUUUUGCAAAAAAAUACUUGGUUACUUAAAAUUUAUUAAAAUACUGUCUAUCUAGAAGAGCCUUUAAAAAGCAAAUGGCAUGUGGUGGUUUGCACUAAUUAUCUCAAGGGAAUGUCUUCCUGAAUAAAAAGUUACUUUACUUGCUACCUGGAAAUACAGUUUUGCUACCAACAACCAAUUGCUUUUUGCUUCCCUUUUGAAAUGGUCAAUGGUAAAGAAACUGUCAGUGUUGAACAAUCUUGAAAUGGUAUCUGCCAGUUACCAAGGUCUUGGAAAAAGGGAAUAUGUGUCAUAAAUCAAGAGAAUGUAUUUUAUAUCAAAGGAAAAUGCUGGCAAAACCACCAAAUCAACACUACGUUUCUGCACGAGGUUGAUGAAUAGUUUGACAGAACUGCUGAGGGUCACGGCAGUGUUUCAGUGACGUGGAGGGCAUGGGUCCAGGUCAGCUGGAGCAGAGUCAGAAGAGACACACACAUUACCUCUCUCUUCAGUGGCCUUGGCUCUUCCCAGCUCUCCUCCCCACCAAACCCAGGCAGAACUGGAGAGGCUGAGGUGCCCUCAGAGCUCCAGGAAGCACAAAGCUGGUCUGCAGAGUCAGGCUGAGGAAGGCAGCGAGGGCUGGAAGAGAGGAUGCAACUUCAACCAUUCCUGCCCCACCUGUAUGCUCUCAGCUGGAACCUCUCUCCUGACCAGUUCUGCAUGGCCUGCCUGCUCCAGUAUCCUCCUCCCUGACUCAGGACAGACUUGUAUCACCCUGUUUUUUAAGAUCCUCCACUCCACAAGAGGAUUUCAAGGGGAUUUCUGGAAGAUGUGGAUACUCUCAUUCAUGACAACAGGUGUUCUUCCAUGGGUUGCACUGGAACAUGGCUCGGAGCACAUAACCACUAAAAAAGACCUUUUUUAUUUUUUAACUUUCAAAUUACCUGGAAAUACAGUAUGAAGUAUAUAAACAAUAAUAAAUAAUAUACAAAACACAA
Molecule: RNA transcript, 1588 nt
Organism: Corapipo altera (White-ruffed manakin)
Lineage: Eukaryota; Metazoa; Chordata; Aves; Passeriformes; Pipridae
Gene: MRAP
Gene name: melanocortin 2 receptor accessory protein
Exons: 3
Source: RefSeq, a predicted model, not a curated record